Molecule: ribosomal RNA, 301 nt
Filed under: uncultured bacterium
Lineage: Bacteria
Description: partial 16S ribosomal RNA
Rfam family: Bacterial small subunit ribosomal RNA
Source: RNAcentral
CAGUCGCCGCGGGAAUACAGAGGGUGCGAGCGUUAAUCGGAUUUACUGGGCGUAAAGCGUGCGUAGGCGGCUUCUUAAGUCGGAUGUGAAAUCCCUGAGCUUAACUUAGGAAUUGCAUUCGAUACUGGGAAGCUAGAGUAUGGGAGAGGAUGGUAGAAUUCCAGGUGUAGCGGUGAAAUGCGUAGAGAUCUGGAGGAAUACCGAUAGCGAAGGCAGCCAUCUGGCCUAAUACUGACGCUGAUGUACGAAAGCAUGGGGAGCAAACAGGAUUAGAUACCCCUGUAGUCCCUGUCUCUUAUAC